This 386-nucleotide ribosomal RNA is filed under the name uncultured Glomeromycotina. RNAcentral's name for it is "SSU rRNA". It matches the Rfam family "Eukaryotic small subunit ribosomal RNA", at positions 569 to 963 of the family's 1831-position model. The record is from RNAcentral. Lineage: Eukaryota; Fungi; Glomeromycota.
AGCAGCCGCGGUAAUUCCAGCUCCAAUAGCGUAUAUUAAAGUUGUUGCAGUUAAAAAGCUCGUAGUUGAAUUUCGGGAUCAAGUCGUCGGUCGUGCUUAGGUACGUACUGGCGUCAUUGAUUUCUCCCUUCUGACGAACCAUGAUGUCAUUAAUUUGGUGUUAUGGGAAAUCAGGACUGUUACUUUGAAAAAUUAGAGUGUUUAAAGCAGGCUCACGCUUGAAUACAUUAGCAUGGAAUAAUGAAAUAGGACGUUCGAUCCUAUUUUGUUGGUUUUAGGAUCAACGUAAUGAUUAAUAGGGAUAGUUGGGGCAUUAGUAUUCAAUUGUCAGAGGUGAAAUUCUUGGAUUUAUUGAAGACUAACUACUGCGAAAGCAUUUGCCAAGG